GGAAGGAUCAUUAACAAAAAUUAAACUAAUAACUAACUGAAUGGUAUAUUGGGAACUAAACAUUCCCAAUAUUAAAUUUAAACUUAUAUGUUUAACCAUAUAAACAAAUCUAAGGUUGAUAAAACUUUAAAUUUUCAACGAUGGAUGUCUUGGCUCCCAUAUCGAUGAAGAACGCAGCUAGAGUGCGAUAUGCAAUGUGAAUUGCAGAACCAUGAAUCAUCGGAUCUUUGAACGCAACUGGCGCUGGUAAACCCAGCAUACUUGUUUCAGUGUGCGCAAACACAUAAAAAAUAAAAAUGUGAGAGAAUUUCUCUCAUGAAGUAAAUGCUCCCUGCAGCAGUCACAUUCUUUGUGAACUGAUUAGGGUUGACCCUUUGCCUUCUAUGCACCUGAAAUCAAGUAAGAUGACCCGCUGGACUUAAGCAUAUUACUAAGCGGAGGAGAAGAAAUUAACAAAGAUUGCCUUAGUAAGGGCGACUGAACCGGCAAAAGCUCAAAAUUGGAAUCGGAGAUUCAAAGAAUCUUCGAAUUGUAAUCAGGUCCGCCUAAAUACGUGAGAUCGCUCAAGUACGUCGAAACGUACGCCAGAGAGGGUGAAAGUCCCGUACAGCGUUUUCACGAGUAAGGGGGGCUCCAAAAGAGUCGGGUUGCUUGGAACUGCAGCCCUAAGUGGGAGAUAUGAAUCUUCCAAAGCUAAAUAUGGAUGGGAGACCGAUAGCGAACAAGUACUGUGAAGGAAAGAUGAAAAGGACUUUGAAAAGAGAGUGAAAAGAUCUGAAAUCGUUGAGAAGGAAGCGGUAGAAACUGACGGUCGUGCUGACAGAUUACGAGGGUUAAACUUCGGAAGUCUGACCAGAGCGACGGACAAAAUCAAGUCAGAUGCGUCAAAAAAGGCUUUGCCGGACAGGACGUAUUUGGCUUGAGGGACUAUUGUGAUUUUGUCAAAAUGGUUUCUACCGUCCCGUCUUGAAACACGGACCAAGGAGUCUAACAUAUAUGCGAGUGUGCGAGUGGAGAAACUCAUACGCGGAAUGAAAGUAAAAGGUGCGCAGCGCAAGCGGCAGCAUCGACCGACCUAGUACGAAAGGUUUGAGUAUGAGCAUAUCUGUUAGGACCCGAAAGAUGGUGAACUAUGCCUGAGUAGGGUGAAGUCAGGGGAAACCCUGAUGGAGGCUCGUAGAGCUGCUGACGUGCAAAUCGCUCUCCAAACUUGGGUAUAGGGGCGAAAGACUAAUCGAACCAUCUAGUAGCUGGUUCCCUC
This 1261-nucleotide unclassified non-coding RNA is filed under the name uncultured fungus. RNAcentral's name for it is "sequence contains 18S rRNA gene, ITS1, 5.8S rRNA gene, ITS2, 28S rRNA gene". The stretch from base 386 to 1261 matches the Rfam family "Eukaryotic large subunit ribosomal RNA", at positions 1 to 961 of the family's 3401-position model. The record is from RNAcentral. Lineage: Eukaryota; Fungi.